This 289-nucleotide ribosomal RNA is filed under the name uncultured Sphingomonas sp. RNAcentral's name for it is "partial 16S ribosomal RNA". The record is from RNAcentral. Lineage: Bacteria; Pseudomonadati; Pseudomonadota; Alphaproteobacteria; Sphingomonadales; Sphingomonadaceae.
CUACUAGGGUAUCUAAUCCUGUUUGCUCCCCACGCUUUCGCACCUCAGCGUCAAUCCCGGGCCAGUGAGCCGCCUUCGCCACUGGUGUUCUUCCGAAUAUCUACGAAUUUCACCUCUACACUCGGAAUUCCACUCACCUCUCCCGGAUUCAAGCCAUGCAGUAUCAAAGGCAGUUCUGGUGUUGAGCACCAGGCUUUCACCCCUAACUUACAAAGCCGCCUACGCGCGCUUUACGCCCAGUAAUUCCGAACAACGCUAGCCCCCUCCGUAUUACCGCGGCUGCUGGCAC